RNAcentral lists this ribosomal RNA (481 nucleotides) under Zeugodacus cucurbitae (melon fly). RNAcentral's name for it is "partial 16S ribosomal RNA". It matches the Rfam family "Bacterial large subunit ribosomal RNA", at positions 1797 to 2546 of the family's 2925-position model. The record is from RNAcentral. Lineage: Eukaryota; Metazoa; Arthropoda; Insecta; Diptera; Tephritidae.
CGCCUGUUUAUCAAAAACAUGUCUUUUUGAGUUAUUUUUAAAGUCUGACCUGCCCACUGAAAUUUUUAAAUGGCCGCAGUAUCCUAACUGUGCAAAGGUAGCAUAAUCAUUAGUCUUUUAAUUGAAGGCUGGUAUGAACGGUUGGACGAGGUAUAAGCUGUUUCAUAUAAAUUUAUAAUAGAAUUUUAUAUUUUAGUCAAAAAGCUAAAAUAUUAUUAAAAGACGAGAAGACCCUAUAAAUCUUUAUAUUUUUUUUUAUUUAAAUUUUUUGGGUUUAUUUUAUUUUUAUAAUAGAAAAUAUUUUGUUGGGGUGAUGUUAAAAUUUAAUGAACUUUUAAUUGUAAAAAAUCAUUAAUUUAUGAGUUAUUGAUCCAUUAGUAGUGAUUAUAAGAUUAAGUUACUUUAGGGAUAACAGCGUAAUUUUUUUGGAGAGUUCAUAUCGAUAAAAAAGUUUGCGACCUCGAUGUUGGAUUAAGAUAUA